UAGGGAAUCUUCCACAAUGGACGCAAGUCUGAUGGAGCAACGCCGCGUGAGUGAAGAAGGCUUUCGGGUCGUAAAACUCUGUUAUUGAAGAAGAACGUGUGUGACAGUAACUGGUCAUGCAGUGACGGUAUUCAAUCAGAAAGUCACGGCUAACUACGUGCCAGCAGCCGCGGUAAUACGUAGGUGGCAAGCGUUGUCCGGAUUUAUUGGGCGUAAAGCGAGUGCAGGCGGUCUUUUAAGUCUGAUGUGAAAGCCUUCGGCUUAACCGAAGAAGGGCAUCGGAAACUGGGAGACUUGAGUGCAGAAGAGGAGAGUGGAACUCCAUGUGUAGCGGUGAAAUGCGUAGAUAUAUGGAAGAACACCAGUGGCGAAGGCGGCUCUCUGGUCUGUAACUGACGCUGAGGCUCGAAAGCGUGGGUAGCAAACAGGAUUAGAUACCUUGGUAGUCCACGCCGUAAACGAUGAAUACUAAGUGUUGGAGGGUUUCCGCCCUUCAGUGCUGCAGCUAACGCAUUAAGUAUUCCGCCUGGGGAGUACGACCGCAAGGUUGAAAC
RNAcentral lists this ribosomal RNA (554 nucleotides) under uncultured bacterium. RNAcentral's name for it is "partial 16S ribosomal RNA". It matches the Rfam family "Bacterial small subunit ribosomal RNA", at positions 355 to 900 of the family's 1533-position model. The record is from RNAcentral.